GAUAAUAUGUUAGCUCUUCAAUGUCAUUAGCAGACGAGUUUACAUGGAACUAAAUGCACACAGUCACUAUAAUAAAAACUAAAAGAAACGAUACACGUUGAAUUAGCUCUAUUUUGUAAUACACUUUAAGUAUAGUGUAGGAGGCACAGCGCAAUACGUAUUGUGGUAGGUCAUGUGCAAAUGCAACGUGCUAGCGUGUUCUGUGGUAUAGAUCACGCUACAUUGAAAAUACUAUCUCAAGAGACAUCAGGAAAACUCACAACUGAAAUUUUAUUCAAGCAAGCUAACGCAACAAUAAAGAAAUUCACUAUAUUGGUAAAGAUUAUAGAUUUUUACCAAUACAGUGAUGAAGACGAUUUUUGUAGAGAUGCUGGUAAUAGAGAUUACUUCAGAAAUACUGAGAAUUCUCAAAACUCCCUUGGUCGGGCGCCAAGUAGAGGCCCACUUCAAUUACCUUGAGAAAGCCAGUUGGUUUGGUCAAUAGCAAAUUCUAGAAUAGAGGGGGCUGCAGUAGUCUGGUGGCCCCCACAGUAAGGGUGGAAGGAGGGUUACGGUGCAUCGUACGAAAGGGCAACUGCAGAUAACGCAGGCAGGGCCCAGACAGUCAACGUCCCGAUGCAUUCCCGGGCCCGCGCCCCGCUCCGCCGCGCCGCGCGCUCCAACGGGAACCCGUAUCCGGCGCGCACCGCACCACGCUUUUUGCGACGCUCCCAGCGCCGGCCACCGCUCGCCGGUCUCUCUCAACUCUCCUCACUUCGUUGAGCUAAUGAAAACGAUUAAUCGGUUGCAUACUUGAGACAAUGAACACACUCACCCUAUAUAUUCAUAUUUGUGCCCAUUUGUACGAUUUAGUUCAUGCUCUGAAGACGAAUGCACUACAGUGAUUAUGCAUAGAGAUUAGAAAAAUAUGUGAUAGUCUAGCUAAGACUAUGUUGACACAAAUUGAUUGCCUGUCUAAAGCAAUAAAUUGACAUAUUUUUUAAUUUAUUAAAGCUUAACUGUUAUUUCUUGCAAUCCAAUUGAUGUUGAAAUAAAUGCCCUUAAAUGAU
Helicoverpa zea (corn earworm) is the source of this 1049-nucleotide long non-coding RNA. RefSeq lists it as uncharacterized. The record is from RefSeq and is a predicted model, not a curated record. The transcript is spliced from 3 exons. Lineage: Eukaryota; Metazoa; Arthropoda; Insecta; Lepidoptera; Noctuidae.